AGUGAACGCUGGCGGCAGGCCUAACACAUGCAAGUCGAGCGGCAGCGCGGGGCAACCUGGCGGCGAGCGGCGGACGGGUGAGGAAUGCGUCGGAAUCUGCCUUUUUGUGGGGGAUAACGUAGGGAAACUUACGCUAAUACCGCAUACGACCUACGGGUGAAAGUGGGGGACCGCAAGGCCUCACGCAGAAAGAUGAGCCGACGCCCGAUUAGCUAGUUGGUGAGGUAAAGGCUCACCAAGGCGACGAUCGGUAGCUGGUCUGAGAGGAUGAUCAGCCACACUGGGACUGAGACACGGCCCAGACUCCUACGGGAGGCAGCAGUGGGGAAUAUUGGACAAUGGGCGCAAGCCUGAUCCAGCCAUGCCGCGUGUGUGAAGAAGGCCUU
RNAcentral lists this ribosomal RNA (386 nucleotides) under uncultured bacterium. RNAcentral describes it as "bacterial SSU rRNA". It matches the Rfam family "Bacterial small subunit ribosomal RNA", at positions 30 to 418 of the family's 1533-position model. The record is from RNAcentral.